AGAACAUUGGCUGCGACGACAGCGACUGAAGCGCAGCUGGAGUGGUAAGAUGGCGGACGAGCAGCUGCAGCAGCUCCGUGCGGUGCUACAGGGGGAGGGGAAGGUGGUUUCUCCUGACACAAGCUGGAGGCCGGAGCCUGUGGCACCCUGGCUUGCCUCACUGAAGCUGGUGGCUGUGACAGGGACUGCACGGCUGCUGGAGUGGUAGAAAGGCAGCCCAGGAGCCGCAGCCCCAGUGGGCCCAACGGUUCCUGUGGGUGGGGAGCCAGCCACCUUGGAGUCUCCAGUUCACUGAAACCUGUCACUGCCACCCAGUGGCCACCAUGACAAGGAAGCCAUCAUUCUGUAGAAGGCAGUGACGGAACAGUACCAGCAGAAAUUGAAGGACCAGCAGAAGGGAUCAUGGCCAAAGUUGCAGUGUCCCCCCGCUCGUUGAAGAUGAGGAGUUCUCAGAGAGCGGGAUGUUUGUGACAUUCCUCAUGUCAGCUCUCGAGUCCAUGACUCUCACUCGGUCGUCCAGGCUGGAGUGCAGUGGCACCAUCUUGGCUCAUUGCAACAUCUGGCUCCCAGGUUCAAUCGAUUCUUCUGCCUCAGCCUUCUGAGUAGCUGGAAUUAACAGGUGUAUGCCAACUUAUCUGGCUAAUUUUGUUGUGUAUUUUUCUUUCAGUACAGACUGGGUUUCACCAUGUUGGCCAUGCUGGUCUUGAGCUCCUCACCUCAGGUGAUCCACAUGCCUCAGCCUCCUAAAGUGCUGGGAUUAUAGGCGUCAGCCACCGCUUCUGGCCUAGAUCAUUAACAUAUCACUAUGAUACUAAAAUUCCCUCUGCCAAAGAAAAUCUUGCCAUUUUGUGACAUGAGUUGUAUAAAGAUGUAUGUUUAUAUGCACUGAACCUGUGCACCUAGAGUUCCACCCUGCUCAUGCUAACGUUGUUCUCCCUCCCCGUACCUAGUUCUUAAAAACUCCAUGCCUUCCAUUUUUCAGGGAAAGGGUGUCUUUAGAGCAAGAACUCUUUUCUUCUCCAUCCCAGGCAGGGAAAAAACCCACUUGGCCUUGUUUCUGAUUGGGUUUUCUUGCUUUGCGACUAAUACAAAGCAGGAAAAAACUCCCUUUAUCAGUGAUAAAAACAAGUAAGAUUAUUAUUUACCCACCUAUUCUAGCUAGGGGUCAUGGGUGGCCGGAGUCUCUCCUAGCAACUCAGGGCGCUAGGCAGAACCAGCCCUGGAUCUGGAAUAGGGUGCCAUCAUAUGGCAGAGUGUACAUACACACACACACACACACACACACACACACACACACA
Molecule: long non-coding RNA, 1298 nt
Filed under: Homo sapiens (human)
Lineage: Eukaryota; Metazoa; Chordata; Mammalia; Primates; Hominidae
Description: non-protein coding LINC01518:2
Source: RNAcentral